CAAGAAUCUAGAGUCGGCGGUGAUGAUCAAUUCCAAUAAGGAAAGUCUACGAAUGCAAUGGCCACAAUGCAGGUGCCGUUAUAAACCAAAGCCAAUGCACAAGAAUUGCGCUCAUGAUCAACUUCCAGCUCAAUCAUGAUGAUGAUGAAAAGCUAGCGCGGAAAUGCCACAGAAAAUUGCUUAAUGAACCGUUUCUCAUCUGCUCCAAAUGGCAAUGGCAAUGUGGCUACUACUACCAUACGUAUGCUUCACCCAACCAACAACCAGUCCAAUAGAUCAGUCCAAAACCCAGUUUCGAGUGCAGGUUCAAUGCCAUUAGGAAUUGAAUAGCAACUGCUACUGGAAAACAACAUACAAACAUACAAACAUCUCCCUGACGAUUCUUCAUCUCACAUAAAAGUGGUUAAAUAUGCGGCUGCUGUUGCACUUCAAAUUGCACUGAAGAUUGGGCAUGGGAUGGGAUGGUAGUGAAUGGAAGUCGUCUCGAUGACUGUCGAUGAUGGGCGAAGUUUAAUGGAUGGAGAAAAGAAAAGUUUAAGAUGAGAUUGCAUUCAAAUUGGAUGCAGAUGACCAGGUAAAACGAAUGCAAAGCAAAAAUCGUGGAAAUAUGGAGA
Drosophila guanche is the source of this 614-nucleotide long non-coding RNA. RefSeq lists it as uncharacterized. Lineage: Eukaryota; Metazoa; Arthropoda; Insecta; Diptera; Drosophilidae. The transcript has 2 exons. The record is from RefSeq and is a predicted model, not a curated record.